This 907-nucleotide ribosomal RNA is filed under the name uncultured marine archaeon. RNAcentral's name for it is "bacterial SSU rRNA". It matches the Rfam family "Archaeal small subunit ribosomal RNA", at positions 9 to 922 of the family's 1478-position model. The record is from RNAcentral.
UGAUCCUGCCGGACCUGACUGCUAUCGGAUUGAUACUAAGCCAUGCUAGUCUUUGUAGUAAUACAAGGCAUACGGCUCAGUAACGCGUAGUCAACCUACCCUAUGGACGGGGAUAAUCUCGGGAAACUGAGCAUAAUACCCGACAGACCACUUCUCCUGGAAUGGUUAGUGGUUAAAAUGAUUCGUCGCCAUAGGAUGGGACUGCGGCCUAUCAGCUUGUUGGUGAGGUAAUGGCCCACCAAGGCGAUUACAGGUACGGGCUCUGAGAGGAGAGGCCCGGAGAUGGGUACUGAGACAAGGACCCAGGCCCUAUGGGGCGCAGCAGGCGAGAAAACUUUGCAAUGUGCGAAAGCACGACAAGGUUAAUCCGAGUGAUUUCUGCUAAAGGAAUCUUUUGUUAGUUCUAAAAAUACUAGUGAAUAAGGGGUGGGCAAGUUCUGGUGUCAGCCGCCGCGGUAAAACCAGCACCUCAAGUGGUCAGGAGGAUUAUUGGGCCUAAAGCAUCCGUAGCCUGUUCUAUAAGUUUGCGGUUAAAUCUAUACGCUCAACGUAUAGGCUGCCGUAAAUACUGUAGAACUAGGGAGUGGGAGAGGUAGACGGUACUCGAUAGGAAGGGGUAAAAUCCUUUGAUCUAUUGAUGACCACCUGUGGCGAAGGCGGUCUACCAGAACACGUUCGACGGUGAGGGAUGAAAGCUGGGGGAGCAAACCGGAUUAGAUACCCGGGUAGUCCCAGCUGUAAACGAUGCAGACUCGAUGAUGCAAUGGCAUAGAGCUAUUGCAGUAUCGCAGGGAAGCCGUUAAGUCUGCCGCCUGGGAAGUACGUACGCAAGUAUGAAACUUAAAGGAAUUGGCGGGGGAGCACCACAAGGGGUGAAGCCUGCGGUUCAAUUGGAUUCAACGCCGGG